GAUGAACGCUGGCGGCGUGCCUAAUACAUGCAAGUCGAGCGAACAGAUAAGGAGCUUGCUCCUUUGACGUUAGCGGCGGACGGGUGAGUAACACGUGGAUAACCUACCUAUAAGACUGGGAUAACUUCGGGAAACCGGAGCUAAUACCGGAUAACAUAUUGAACCGCAUGGUUCAAUAGUGAAAGGCGGCUUUGCUGUCACUUAUAGAUGGAUCCGCGCCGUAUUAGCUAGUUGGUAAGGUAACGGCUUACCAAGGCAACGAUACGUAGCCGACCUGAGAGGGUGAUCGGCCACACUGGAACUGAGACACGGUCCAGACUCCUACGGGAGGCAGCAGUAGGGAAUCUUCCGCAAUGGGCGAAAGCCUGACGGAGCAACGCCGCGUGAGUGAUGAAGGUCUUCGGAUCGUAAAACUCUGUUAUCAGGGAAGAACAAAUGUGUAAGUAACUGUGCACAUCUUGACGGUACCUAAUCAAAAAGCCACGGCUAACUACGUG
Molecule: ribosomal RNA, 497 nt
Filed under: uncultured bacterium
Lineage: Bacteria
Description: partial 16S ribosomal RNA
Rfam family: Bacterial small subunit ribosomal RNA
Source: RNAcentral